UUUAUAUUUUAACGAUCUACCUUAGUCUUCUGUUAACUCAUAAUUCUGUUUAGUGCUGCAAGGAAUUUAACUUUUUAAUUUUCAUAGUAUAAAAUUGGACUAGAAGUUGUUUGUAGGGAAUUGAAGGUUUAUAUUUUCCUUCAGAGUAAUGAAAGUAGAUUUCCCAAGUUUUGAACUAGCCAGUUUUUAGUAAUUAUAAGUUAAUUAUAGUUUGUUCAAUUUGGUUUGGUUCUCCUCAAUGCAAAGGAAAAAAAUCGGAUAUAUAUAGAGGUUAUAAAAUAGAGAUUUCGUUUUGAUAAUGUGCAGAAUGGUCUUAAGCGAUCACAGAAAGUAAAAAAAAAAAAAAAAAUCAGGAUUCUACUGCUUUAAAAGAAAUUUCACUUUUAAUUUUGGAAUAUAAAAUGUAUUUUCUAAAAGUGACCUUUUUUCUAUCUUAAAAAACAUCCAUUCUGGUAGUGUCACCAAUUAUUUAAACACCCUUCUAAACCAAAGAAAAAAAAAGAGAAAGAAAAAGUAACUUGCUUUGUAAGAUCAUAUUUUUAAUCUAUCUCUUGUACAUGCUUCAUUGAAUCAAAGGAACAAUCCUUUUGUUCACUGGACAUAUGCUUGAGUAAUGUAAAUUUUUAUCCAUUGGUCAUUCCUAGUCUUAAAAAGUUUAUAUGCUCUCCUAAAAUAUUUUGGCUGUAUAGUUUUGGUGUUCAUCUUAGAGGAUUCUUCAGCAGGAAGUGAUUUAUUCUUUACUGUUUUUGUGAGGUAAUACUGGUUUUGAAAAUACGUUUAAGCUAAAAAGAAUAUUUUAUUGAGAUCAGUGGUUACUGCGUCUAUCAACUCUAAAAUCAAGUGCCAGCAGAGAACUUUAAAACUUUAAGCUGUGUAUGGAGCUGUUUUGUGUAGCAUUGAAAUGUUCUAUCAAGUUUUGUCAGUCACUGUAUAUGAUUAUCAGCUUGAAGGUAUUUUUGUAUUAAAAGUUGACAGUUAAAGAACAUAAGUGGAUGAUGGCAUUUGGGGCCAAUAGUGAAAGUAUGUUUCCUCUAAAAUAUUUCCCUAGCAGUGGUAUAUAUACAUGGUUAUUUUAUUAGGGUAUUUCUCUGUGAACCAUGCUGCAGUCUUUGUUUUUUGUCUCUUUGUUUGUUUUUGUAUCACCAUAAAGUAAGGGAAAAUCCAGAAAUAGAGACUAAAUCACACAAAAUUGACCUUGUUAAAUACAGAAAAAUAUAGGUGCUUACCUUUUGAGGGUCUCUUAAUACAUAUGAUUGUCACAAUGCAUAUCUGUGAUAAAUGGUGUACAUAAUAUAGAUGCUUCUAGCCUAUAAAUUUUUCUAUACCGACGUAGAAUCCUCUUUCUGCAUCUUUGUUCAACAUGUUAAUUCCUCUUCUGUUUAUUCUCUAGUAGCCGAAUGCCAGCAUUUUUUACACCAUGGCACAGUACUGAGAAGUGUGCUCUAGGAUAGGGAACUGAAUUUUGAAUGAAAAAAGAGAGGGAGAGAGAAAAGGAUUUAAAAAAACAAGCACACAAAUGUUUUCUUAGCCAUUUUCAUUGGGCAUCUGAAGAGUCCAUAGGACGUUCCUGUUUAACAUUAUUUCUAGUGAAAUAAGAUUCUUGCUCUAGCAAUAUGUUCCUAAGAAUGUCUUCCCUCAAAACAGUAAACAUGCUCUAGUGGCCUAAGGCUACUUUUUGUUCGUUGUGAUAUCAGGGAUGUUGUUAUAAGCACUGGUCUCAGCUUAGAAAGCUGUUUCUUAAUAGUGUUAUUUUUUGGCCAAAUUUCUUCACCAGUAACUUCUUUUUGAUAGCUUUUUGUUUUGUUAGGUUGAAGUAGGACAGUGCUGAUCUCAACCAGAUUAUCCAUCUGCAGAAUUAAGGAUGCAAGUUUUUCCGCUGAAAGAAAGGGAACAGCUUGGAGGAGAAGGCGCACCUAUUCAAAGGAAAUCAGGUCCUUCCUUUUUUCCAUGCUGGCUGUCUACCAGCUGUGUUUGUGAAUGUUCAAGAGAAGAUAAAGGAUGGAGAGCUGGAAUCAGUCAACUGAAUUGCUUGUCAGGAGACUCAGAAGAUUUGGAGAAAGGUGAGGCACAACCAAGUAUUUAAAAUAAGAUCUCUAAGCUCAAGAUCUUGUUCAUUUUUCUCUAUGUGGUUACAUCAAGUUUUCCC
This is a long non-coding RNA of Lynx canadensis (Canada lynx), 2146 nucleotides long. RefSeq lists it as uncharacterized. NCBI's taxonomy places the organism in Eukaryota, Metazoa, Chordata, Mammalia, Carnivora, Felidae. The record is from RefSeq and is a predicted model, not a curated record. The transcript is spliced from 3 exons.